GAUGAACGCUGGCGGCGUGCCUAAUACAUGCAAGUCGAGCGAACGGACGAGAAGCUUGCUUCUCUGAUGUUAGCGGCGGACGGGUGAGUAACACGUGGAUAACCUACCUAUAAGACUGGGAUAACUUCGGGAAACCGGAGCUAAUACCGGAUAAUAUUUUGAACCGCAUGGUUCAAAAGUGAAAGACGGUCUUGCUGUCACUUAUAGAUGGAUCCGCGCUGCAUUAGCUAGUUGGUAAGGUAACGGCUUACCAAGGCAACGAUGCAUAGCCGACCUGAGAGGGUGAUCGGCCACACUGGAACUGAGACACGGUCCAGACUCCUACGGGAGGCAGCAGUAGGGAAUCUUCCGCAAUGGGCGAAAGCCUGACGGAGCAACGCCGCUUGAGUGAUGAAGGUCUUCGGAUCGUAAAACUCUGUUAUUAGGGAAGAACAUAUGUGUAAGUAACUGUGCACAUCUUGACGGUACCUAAUCAGAAAGCCACGGCUAACUACGGG
RNAcentral lists this ribosomal RNA (497 nucleotides) under uncultured bacterium. Its description in RNAcentral is "partial 16S ribosomal RNA". It matches the Rfam family "Bacterial small subunit ribosomal RNA", at positions 28 to 507 of the family's 1533-position model. The record is from RNAcentral.